GAGGCUUCACCUUCCUUAUUAGUGCAUGGGCAGCCUCUUAACUCUUUAGGCAACAUCUUGAAGACCUUGAGCAGCAAUUGAAAAGACCAAAGAGCCCCCACUUGCCUCCAUUCAUAUGCAUCUCGUUUUUGCCUUCACCCAUGCACAAAGAAGGCACAUAUGGGACCAAGGGCACUUUGGACAGCCUCUAAAAGACUCAUGGACUGCCAC
This 210-nucleotide long non-coding RNA is filed under the name Manihot esculenta (cassava). Its description in RNAcentral is "long non-coding RNA (MESC_LNC000689)". Lineage: Eukaryota; Viridiplantae; Streptophyta; Magnoliopsida; Malpighiales; Euphorbiaceae. The record is from RNAcentral.